UCCAUUUCACGGAUCCACAUAAACUGAAAAGGAACAAGAGUCGGUGAGACCAAAGAGCACUGAAGGCCAUGAACCACCACCAUUCUCAACCCCUGGGCCAGGCAAGAAAAGCCACGGUUCCUGGAAGGGAUGACGACAGGCUUACUGAAUUAUUUUCAUCCAUGCCCUUUUAAAAUAUGGUUGGUAGAAAUUUGCCAUUUGAGACUAGAAUC
RNAcentral lists this long non-coding RNA (212 nucleotides) under Homo sapiens (human). The record is from RNAcentral. Lineage: Eukaryota; Metazoa; Chordata; Mammalia; Primates; Hominidae.